CUGUCGCUUCCAGAUGAGCCCGCGUCCGAUUAGCUUGUUGGUGAGGUAACGGCUCACCAAGGCCACGAUGACUAGGGGGUCUGAGAGGAUGAUCCCCCACACUGGUACUGAGACACGGACCAGACUCCUACGGGAGGCAGCAGUGAGGAAUAUUGGGCAAUGGACGCAAGUCUGACCCAGCCAUGCCGCGUGCAGGAUGACUGCCCUAUGGGUUGUAAACUGCUUUUGUUUGGGAAGAAACCCCCGAUCGUGAUCGGGGCUGACGGUACCAUACGAAUAAGCAUCGGCUAACUCCGUGCCAGCAGCCGCGGUAAUACGGAGGAUGCAAGCGUUAUCCGGAUUCAUUGGGUUUAAAGGGUGCGCAGGCGGAAUAUUAAGUCAGUGGUGAAAUCCUGCAGCUUAACUGUAGAACUGCCAUUGAUACUGAUAUUCUUGAAUAUAGUUGAGGUGGGCGGAAUGUGUAAUGUAGCGGUGAAAUGCUUAGAUAUUACACAGAACACCAAUUGCGAAGGCAGCUCACUAAACUAAUAUUGACGCUGAGGCACGAAAGCGUGGGUAGCAAACAGGAUUAGAUACCCUGGUAGUCCACGCUGUAAACUAUGAUCACUCGCUGUUGGCAAUACAUCGUCAGCGGCUGAGCGAAAGCAUUAAGUGAUCCACCUGGGGAGUACGGUCGCAAGAUUGAAACUCAAAGGAAUUGACGGGGGCCCGCACAAGCGGAGGAACAUGUGGUUUAAUUCGAUGAUACGCGAGGAACCUUACCUGGGCUUAAAUGCAGAGCGACGUCCGCCGAAAGGUGGAUUCCUUCGGGCGAUCUGCAAGGUGCUGCAUGGUUGUCGUCAGCUCGUGCCGUGAGGUGUCGGGUUAAGUCCCAUAACGAGCGCAACCCUUAUCGUUAGUUGCCAGCGGGUAAUGCCGGGGACUCUAACGAAACUGCCGGUGUAAACCGUGAGGAAGGUGGGGAUGACGUCAAAUCAGCACGGCCCUUAUGUCCAGGGCUACACACGUGUUACAAUGGUCGGUACAGAGGGCAGCUACCACGCAAGUGGAUGCUAAUCUCGAAAACCGGUCUCAGUUCGGAUUGAAGUCUGCAACUCGACUUCAUGAAGCUGGAUUCGCUAGUAAUCGCGCAUCAGCCAUGGCGCGGUGAAUACGUUCCCGGGCCUUGUACACACCGCCCGUCAAGCCAUGGAAGCUUGGGGUACCUGAAGUCCGUA
RNAcentral lists this ribosomal RNA (1217 nucleotides) under uncultured organism. Its description in RNAcentral is "bacterial SSU rRNA". It matches the Rfam family "Bacterial small subunit ribosomal RNA", at positions 212 to 1432 of the family's 1533-position model. The record is from RNAcentral.